UGUUUGAUGUUCUAACGUUGACCCGUAAUCCGGGUUGCGGACAGUGUCUGGUGGGUAGUUUGACUGGGGCGGUCUCCUCCUAAAGAGUAACGGAGGAGCACGAAGGUUGGCUAAUCCUGGUCGGACAUCAGGAGGUUAGUGCAAUGGCAUAAGCCAGCUUGACUGCGAGCGUGACGGCGCGAGCAGGUGCGAAAGCAGGUCAUAGUGAUCCGGUGGUUCUGAAUGGAAGGGCCAUCGCUCAACGGAUAAAAGGUACUCCGGGGAUAACAGGCUGAUACCGCCCAAGAGUUCAUAUCGACGGCGGUGUUUGGCACCUCGAUGUCGGCUCAUCACAUCCUGGGGCUGAAGUAGGUCCCAAGGGUAUGGCUGUUCGCCAUUUAAAGUGGUACGCGAGCUGGGUUUAGAACGUCGUGAGACAGUUCGGUCCCUAUCUGCCGUGGGCGCUGGAGAACUGAGGGGGGCUGCUCCUAGUACGAGAGGACCGGAGUGGACGCAUCACUGGUGUUCGGGUUGUCAUGCCAAUGGCACUGCCCGGUAGCUAAAUGCGGAAGAGAUAAGUGCUGAAAGCAUCUAAGCACGAAACUUGCCCCGAGAUGAGUUCUCCCUGACUCCUUGAGAGUC
This 621-nucleotide ribosomal RNA is filed under the name Escherichia coli. Its description in RNAcentral is "partial 23S ribosomal RNA". It matches the Rfam family "Bacterial large subunit ribosomal RNA", at positions 2211 to 2827 of the family's 2925-position model. The record is from RNAcentral. Lineage: Bacteria; Pseudomonadati; Pseudomonadota; Gammaproteobacteria; Enterobacterales; Enterobacteriaceae.